GGUGCAUGGUUGUCGUCAGCUCGUGUCGUGAGAUGUUGGUUAAGUCCCGCAACGAGCGCAACCCCUAUUGUUAGUUGCCAUCAUUCAGUUUGGGCACUCUAGCGAGACUGCCGGUAAUAAACCGGAGGAAGGUGGGGAUGACGUCAAAUCAUCAUGCCCCUUAUGACCUGGGCUACACACGUGCUACAAUGGUUGGUACAACGAGUUGCGAGUCGGUGACGGCGAGCUAAUCUCUUAAAGCCAAUCUCAGUUCGGAUUGUAGGCUGCAACUCGCCUACAUGAAGUCGGAAUCGCUAGUAAUCGCGGAUCAGCACGCCGCGGUGAAUACGUUCCCGGGCCUU
This 341-nucleotide ribosomal RNA is filed under the name uncultured Streptococcus sp. RNAcentral's name for it is "bacterial SSU rRNA". It matches the Rfam family "Bacterial small subunit ribosomal RNA", at positions 1040 to 1382 of the family's 1533-position model. The record is from RNAcentral. Lineage: Bacteria; Bacillati; Bacillota; Bacilli; Lactobacillales; Streptococcaceae.